This is a non-coding RNA of Rattus norvegicus (Norway rat), 9483 nucleotides long. The record is from RefSeq and is a predicted model, not a curated record. NCBI's taxonomy places the organism in Eukaryota, Metazoa, Chordata, Mammalia, Rodentia, Muridae.
UCUUGAAACAAGCGCGUAACAGGGUAGAAAGGAAAAAUCUGUGUUUAUGAAUUUGAGCCUUCAAUUCAAGAGUUAUUUCCACUUGUGUUCAUGAAUGAACCGUCCAAUAAAAGUCACGUGGUAAGGGCAGUUGCGACGGAAGUGCAGGUGAGAAGCCCGGAAGCAAGGUCCCUACCACACAGCAUGAACAGAGAGAACCCAGAAUGGCAGCUUUGCAACCUGAAGCCCCAGCUUGAACCUGGGCAACAAAAUGGCUGGCUGCCAAGAGGUUAAUUAUCCUAACUUCCUGCAGAGGGAAUCUUCAAUGAACACAGGCUGUAUGACAGAGAUCAGAGAAACACUACUGAGGUGGUGGGCAAGUAAAGGGUUAUAUCAACUCCCAAUGCUCAGCUACAGUUGGUAAUUUUAUAAACAAAUUUAUUCAUUUAUUUCUCCCAGGGCAAAAGGCAAGCCUAAGACACAGAAAAUAUUUUGUUCUUUAUUGGAAAAGGCCGUUGAGUAAAAAUUAUUUUUAUGGCUUAAGCAACGAAAAAAAAAAUAAGUUCAACCUAAAACUAUUUCAGAAGCAUUAGGUUAGUCCGUAUUAAGUAUAAUUAGAUUAAUUAUUGACUUGAUCGGGAAUAAACUAAGUUACCAUGCUGGAAUUGUUAACAUUAUUGUUACAUGGGAAAUGUCGGAAUAAAAUUAUAGCUGGAACAAAAAAACAAGGACACGGAAAAUAACCCCACUGUCAACCUAGUCUGAGGGAUCUCUGAGGGGAGGAGUAGAGAGUGAGGUUAGCCACAAAGGAGGUACAGUGGUUCUCACCCUUUCUAAUGCUGUCACCUUUUAAUACAAUCCCUUAUACUGUGGUGACCACAACCAUAAAAUAUAUUUCCUUGCUACUUAGCAACUCUAAUGCUACUGUUAGGUAUCUUAAUGCAAAUAUUAUAUAUGUGUGUGUGUGUGUGUGUGUGUGUGUGUGUGUGUGUGUGUGUGUGUCCCUUAAGGGGUUGCAACCCACAGGUUGAGAACCUCUGGGACAAGAGCUUGUUGGAAAAAAGCAUCCACUAUUUCUCAUGGUCAGAACUGCACAAUGGUGGAGCACCAGCUCGGUCUACACAGGACGCCGGGCUGGAUCCUUGGAUGUCAGACAAUGGAUUAUCAAGAAAUCUUAGACUAGCUCUCGGUUUCUCAUACAGAGAUCAAAACAUAACAACUUACGAGAGCCACAUGGGCAAAGGGCAGUGUAAAGGCCGUUGGUCCUCAGAAAAUAUCCAAUUACAGACUCAACCAAGCUCAGAAAAGGGGAACGGAGUCAGGAGAGCCAGGGAGCCUGGUGAUACCCAACAAUGUGGGAGAAGCAUGAUGAACUGAAGCCUCUGGGAGGCUAAUCAUGGAAUCGCAGCCCUCACCACCUGACGCGGAGCCACAUAUUUCAAACCACAGGCAGUUCCUGACCCACGGUGGGUCCACUUUCCACAUUUCCUCGUCACUCUGCUGUGACAGCAACAGGCACUGGGCAACUGGGAUUUUGAAUUCUGAUCUCUUCCCUGGCCAGCAGCAAUGCAUCCUUGGGUCCUUCCCUUUGUGACAGGCAGCACUGGUGAGCUACAGUUCUGAGCCAGCUCAGUAAUGGGGCAGGGGGACAAGGGAGCCUCCGAGGUACGCUGUGUCUCUAUGCUGUCAUCACUCUGUAAUGGCACUUUUUUGUUUGUUGGUUCUUUAGAGAUGAAGUCUUAGGCAUCCAAAGCUGGCCUUCAAGUGGCGAUUUUAUUGCCACAGUGUCCAAAGUGCUGAGAUUACAGAUGUGGGCCACCAUACCCAGCAAUUCGAUGCACUCCUGAGUUUGGUAUAUUCAACAUGUCAUGGGUUUAUUAGGACACAGCCUCACCAGUAUCAUCUUCUAUCAAUGGGUUUAUGAUCAAACACCACCUGUCAGAAGUCAUUUGUGUUGCAAUUUAAUAAGAUAACUUUCCCUAAUUGGUGUCCCUAAUUAGUUUUGGAAAAUUUGUACAUAUAUUUGUAUAUGUAUUUGUAUAUAUAUUUGUAUAUAUUUUGGAAAAUUUGUAUAUAUUUCUUUCCAACCUAAGAACAUUAAAAUUUUGCUUUCUGACUUGUAAGUAGCCAUGACUACUUCAGCAAAAUCAGGCAGGAAGAAAUGGGAAAGAGAAAAAAAAAUCAUACACCCAGCUCCAUCAUGCUUAGCUUACCUUGGUAUACAUUAGCAAAGCCCCCCCUGUUCUUUCAUUUUCCCCUAAAUUUCUCUUUUUCCCUCUUUCUUCUCCCUUGGUGGAGCAUAUCACAUACCACGACGUGAUAGCAGUCUGGUUUGUUUGUUUGUUUAAAACUUUGUUGUGAGACAGGCUUUCAGGGUGGAGCUCAGACUGGCCUCAACUGCAGGAGCGACCCCCACCCCACCCCACCUUGCUUCGACCUCCAAGAGUUAUGAGACACAGACAUGUGCCAUCUUGCCUAGGGAAUAGGACAUUUAUAAUGUGAAUAUUUUCACAUAUCCUGGAAGGUUUCAUAAGUCAAGCUUACUUUGUCCUACUCUCUUUUAGAGAUGAUCGUGCCAUAUUACGCCUCCCCUCCUGCAUUGCGGGAAUCUCAUUUAUCAGCUAAAUUGUAACGCGACCAUAGGCACAUCAUCCUCACCGGUUGGCAUAGAAUUCGGCUUUGUGUGCUUUCCCUUCCUUUCUCAGAGAAGGAAAUUGAGAGGCUCAACGCUGUUUUUGUUUGUUCUGUUCUGUUCUGUUUUGUUGUUUUGUUUUAAGGAGCCUGUCACAAUUUUAACAAAACCCACUUCACAUCAUGUAUACUAUGAGUAAACUACGAACUUGAUCCCCAGAAUCAAGAAGCCAAAUAGGAGGGAGUUCUGGAGUUUGGAAUCAAUGGGAGAGAAUGCACUGUCUGAGAUCUGGGCACAUUCGAUCGUGAGUGCCCCUUACAGAGGGAGCCAGACACUGCCAGGUCCCCAGGGACAGUUGGCAGUGUGGAGCUACACUAAGGAGGCAGGGGACAGUCCUGCAGUGAUGCUAUGGCGUUGUCAUCAGAAUGUCUCUCUUUUUAAUUUAUUUUUUGUUUUCCAACCGCAGUUCCCAAUUUACUAUCCUUCGACUCCUCCCAGCCUCCCCCAACCUUCCCUCUUCCCCAGAUUCACUCUUCCUUCAUUUCCCUCCAGAAAACAGCAGUCUCCCAGGGAUAUGGGCUGAACACUAUGUAACAAGGUACCGUAAGACUAGGCACAAAGCCUCCUAUCAGGGCUGGGGGAAGCAAGGCAUAGAAGGAAAAGAGUCCCAGGAGCUGAUGAAAGAAUUGAGAUAAUCCUACAUCCACUGCUAGGAAUCCCACAAAAACACCUAGCUAAAAACCAUUGUCAUAUAUGCUGAGGACCUAGCACAGACCCAUGCAGGCUCCAUGAUCGCUGCUUCAGUCUCUGUGAGCUGCUACGAGCCCUGCUUAGUUGAUUCUGUGGGCCUUGUUCUCCUGGUAUCCUCAACCCUCUGGCUCCUGCAAUCCUUCCUUCCCCUCUUCUGCGGGGGUUCCCUGAGCCCCAAGAGGAGGAGCCUGAGGGAGAUCUUCAGUUUGGGGCCUCUAUCCGCCUAAGGUUUGGUUGUAGGUCUCUGCAUCUGCCCCAUCGGCUGGCAGCGGAAGCCUGUGUGAUGACGAUCGGACUUCCAGGGCCUUCUCUUUCCGAGUCAUUUUUCCUUUCACUCCACAUCUCGGAGAUCUGCAAUCAGCAAUUGCAAUCCACAGUAAUCAGCAUCUGCACCACUGACUUUGAUAACAGCUGCAGAUGUUGACUGAAGCACAAUCUUCCCGUAUCCAGUGUGGAAAGACUUCUUUGUUCCCAGGCCUGUGAGCACACCUGCACUCACUAAUGGUCCUGUCAGUAGCGUGGCCUUCCAAUAACUAGGACAGUGUUAUGAUUUAUCUAUGAGGAUUAUCGUGUGACUACAGCACUCAGUUCUAGGUGCACCCCAUACAAGGAAAGCAUCAAAACUGUGUCUCCAAUGGAACUCUAUUCUCUAUACAUGGAAGAAAGCCCAACACAGUGAAUGCUCCAGAAGUACACCCUGAACGGAAGGCUGCAGGGAAGGCAGGAAGUAUGGACAUGACAUGGUGCGAAGAAUCAGAAGACUCACAAAGGCUCAAGAAAUCUAAGACCCUGAGACCAUUUACCUAGGAAUUUUCCCAGCACAGCUCAUAACUCAACAGGCUCUGGGGUCAUCGUGUAUCCUUAGCGGAGUAGAAUUAACCAUGCUCACAGCAGUGGCUGAGUCACCGUGAAGGUUGAAAUAGUUCAUUCUUUUAAAUGAGGGUGACAAGAAAUAUGAAGCACGCUAGGAGGAUGCUUCUAUCCAAAGUGGUGAAGAUGAAUAUUUCAUAGCCAGAGUCUGAGCAUAAUUUACUGGACAUAGUCAGAAAGUGCUUAUCGUCUACUGAUAUUAUCUAGAUGGAGAAAGCAAGACUUCAUUACACUUCAUGAGCAAUUACCUACUGCCAACCCCAGGCAAUUUACUUUACCAAUGAGUGUGUGUUCCUAAUUAGCUGUAACACUCAUCUGAACACUAACAAAAUUCUUUUCUGGAGAAAUUACAGGCCGGUGUUAUAUGUUAACAAGGACAUUUUCCUUCUGCACACAGUUAGCACUGCAAACAGAAGAAUUGUGGAGGCAUCCACCAGAGAGUAAACAGAUGUAAACAGCACAUGAGGAAAGAUAAGCAGAGGAAUGAGAAACACGUGUGCGGUUCCCAUGGGCAGAGUCGAUCGGCGGUCCACCGAGGUUUUCACGUGACACUGUAUGAACAUGGAUCCUCGCAACAGGGAGCUUUGUGCAUCCUACGUGCUCAGUACCCUUUUAGAAAAUGUUCUUUCGGGUUCCAGACAUGACUUGGUGGGUAAAUUGCUCACUGCACAUGAAGACCGGAGUUGGAGUGCCCAGAAUUUGUAAAGCUGAGAGACGGAGCACACAUCUGUAAUCCCAGACGGAAGACGGACAGCAGAGACAGGAGAAGCUCCAGACGUUUGUGGGCUGGCUAAUCUGACUUACACAAAACUGAACAAGAAUAACCAAGAUGUUCUGUACAAAUAAGGAUGAGGGGGAGGGAGGAACAGUGCCUGAGGUUGUCCUCUGACUCCACACUCCUACCAUGGCAUGCACGUGCCCCCUUCAGACACCCAGACACACACUCCUACACACAGACACACAGACACACACACACACACACACACACACACACACACACACACGCAUACCAUCAUCAUCACCACCACCCCUUCAUCAUCAUCAUCAUCACCAUCACCAUCACCAUCACCAUCACCAUCACCAUCACCAUCACCAUCACCAUCACCAUCACCUCUUUAAGUAUAAAUUUCUCGAGAACUAAGAACACGGCCUAUGAACGAAUACGUAAGCAGUAGCUUGGGGGCUGAGGGUGAGCUGUAUCUAGAUGGAGGGAGAUUUGAUUAUUUCUGUCAAGCUGACCUCACAGCAUUAUUUAUCACAUAAUUUGGAAAUAAAUCUGUUUUAGCUUCAGGGACACCAAAGGCAGCAUUGUGUCAUCCAGGACAAUCACGUGGCGCUGAGGUACGUUUCCACAGAAUGUGAGCCAGGCUGGCCUGAGAGCCAAGCACCAACUUAAACUGUGCAUAAUAUGCAGUUUGGAAUAAUUCAAAAAUAAGGCUCAGGGCAGAAGUAUACCCAGAGGGAAGGACCUUUCAAUUAUCAAUAAAAAAUCCCAGAGGACCAUACCCAUAAUGAACAAGCAGUCAGUUCUGCAAAAGUCACAUGACACGGGAGUGGUGGCAGCACAGACUGCUGUGCCCCUGAUGCCUCGGCUGGAGCUGGGCUUGGCACAUGCCUCAUCCUAUAUGUCAGCUCCAGCCCGUGAGGGCUAGAGAAGCAGGGGGAACAGACCAUGCUUAGGACAAAGAAAACCUUGGCUCUUAAAACAGCUGCACCGAAAUGCUGGGUUUUAUGCAUGUUUACCAUAUGAGUCUUUGAAUAUUCAAACCCCACCAGAUGCCUGGAUGUGUCUUUAUGGCUACCCAGAGAAUAGACGUUUGAUAAGAGGGCUACUCCACCCAAGACAGGACAGGAGUAGGAAACUCGAAACUUCAGUGAAGUUGGCAAGAAGCCAAAUGUCAGCUGUUUCUCUGCCUUUCCCAUACGGCAGGAGGCAUUUCACACCGCUUUCCCUAAUUUCUAUAAAUCUGCUAAAUGAUAGGAGUCCUCUGCAUGCCAAGAGACACAUAAGAUGGAUAUCAAAAUAGAUGUCGGGGUUGCUGUAUGACAAGAACCAGACUUCAACAGCUGAAGCGAGCAAGUCAGGCCUGGCCUUGGUUCAGCACCAACGGGAGCGCUAGCCAGAGCCUUUCGUGGUCUUUCUGAUUAUUUUCCUCUUACUUCACUCUUGAAUCAUAUUUCUUCCAUAUUUGUUUACUCCCCAAGAACUCUGGACCAUCUCAAUAGCCUCUUCCUAUUCAUGCCCCUACCCCCAUGGCCCACCCCCAUCACCUGAAGCCUGGCUGGGUUCUCCAGGCAACUGAGGCUACAGAACAUUAGGACUCAGGAAUUCAUUUAUCCAUUCAAUAAAUAUUUAGUGAGUGCGAGCUAUGGGCCAGGACUCGUUUCAGACACCGCUGCACUCUAAUGGUGGAAGAGUCUCCACAUAUAGAGAGAGGCUGACAAAACUCAAAUGGUCAAGAGUCUAUGCAACUUGUCAGGUGGUGAUGAACAAUGGUGUCUAGAAGACUAAGCCGUGUGGGCGGGCAGGGAGUAAUUGGAGGUCAUCAAUGGUUUUGAUGACAAGAUGGCAUGUUAUCAGAGACUAUGGAGAACUGAGCGCAAGAUAUGGGGAUGGGAUCUCUACUAAGGUCCUCGGGUGCUGAUUUCUUUUGUACUGUUUACUCAAGGAAAAGCAAGGAAGAGACCAGAGCAGAGCAAGAGCAUCCUCUGUUCAACCUCCUGUAGCAAUAAAAAGAAAAGGAGUCGGGAAAGCAGAAGACGACAAGGAAAAGACCAGUGGUCCUUAGGAGAAGCAGCCAAAGUGAAGGGUAAGAGUGAAAGCUAAAAGCUCAAAGCUGGACAUUGUCAGAGGCUUGAAUCCAGCGCUGUCUGGCUUACACUGAUUGCAGUGGUUCCUGCUAGAGCAGUGGUUCUGGACCCGAUCCCCAACCAUAAAAAUGUAUUUUCAUUACUACUUCAUAGCUGUAAAAUUGCUUCUGUUGUGAAUUGUAAUCUAGACACCUGAUUUUCCGAUGGUCUCAGGCAACCUGACCCCAACCCCACAGGUUGAGAAACACUGUAUGGUGACUACUCUGGAGACAGGAGGAGAGGCCGGAAGGAUUCUUCAGUCUUAACAAGGACAGCGAUCAUGGCUGAAGGGAGCAGGAAGAUCCAGAAUUUAUUGACACAGAUGUCAGGAUGAGAAAAGCUUAAAGUCGCUUCAUGUCUGAGGUGGAAGGCCUUGUGCUGUAACAUUACCUACCACAGCCAGACGAUACGACCUACCACAGACAACUGACAACCCAUUCGAUAAAAUCUCUUGUGUACCCCAUGUUAAUACAUGGGAGGGUGAGUGGAGCCAGGGCCUGUUAGGUUGGAGGUCUCUGGGCUAUGUCUGAUCCAGUUGUUCUGGAACUUUCCUAGAAGACUCAGCCUUUCUAAGCUUCCAUUGUGAAGUGUUUUAUUUUGAGACAAGUCUUUAUGAAGCAAAGGUAUAACUUUAAUUUUUUUCCAAACCUUAUUUUUAAUGAUGGUUCUUAAAUGCUUUAAUCUCCCUUGUGGCCCACCACCCACCAGAGGUGGUGGAAAAGAAAGGAUAUGGGGGAAGAGGACCUGUUUAGAAAGGUUCUUUGGAGCAACUCCUGUCUGUGUUGUCUGGAAAUUGGCGGUUCAGUUCACAGGUCAGCAGCAGCAGCUCGAUCCACUCAACAACACCUCACAGAUACACCAGCAGUCCAGUUCGGUAGAGUUGGGAUAGCAAAAAGGAAUCAGCAGUGGUGGCCAGAACUUUUGCUGUGCCUCUCUCAGUGAAGCGAUCAGAGAAGACCAAACAUCACGUGUCCUCCACAGGUCUAACCUUAGCACACGUAUCUCAGCUGACAUCCCUCUGAAAAUUGGCCAGAGCCCCCAGAAGCUGCAAGAAACUGCAGCACAUCACCAGAAGAUUUUGGUGUGUUUCUAUGGAGUCCCAACAAAUGCAGGUCAACUGUGCAGUGUAAGGCGGGACAGUACACAUGUGUCGUUAGUGAAGAAUCCUUCAUCACGUGUCCUUUCACAUGCUUGCUUUAGCAGAACAUCCUUUCUCCUGAGUCUGCUUCAGCUAGACCUUUCAUCAUGUGUUUGCUCCAGGAAAACACCAUUCAACCGACUUUCCAAAGAACCCUUAAGUUUCCAUUUCACAGGGGCUAGCUUUGAGCUCCUGGUUUUCCUGCCUCUACCUUUCAUGUAUUGUGAUUGUUAUUAUGAUUAUUAUUUUGAGUGGCGUGUGUGUGAGUGCAUGCAUAUGUGUGUGUUUGUGUGUUUGUGUGUGUAUGUGUGUAUGGUAUUUGUGUGUGCUAUGUGUGGUAUAUGUUGUGUGUGUGUGGUAUGUGUGUGGUGUGUAUGUGGUGUGUGUGUAGUGUGUGUUGUGUGCUGUGUGUGUUGUGUUUGAGGUGUGUAUGUGUGUGUGGUGUGUAUUUGUGGUGUGUAUGUGUGUGUAGCGUGUGUAUAUGUAUGUGUGGUGUAUAUGUGGUGUGAGUGUUUGUGUGGUGUGAGUGUGUGUGUGUGUGUGUUUAGAUAGGUAGGUAGGAGGAUAAUCUCAGAAAUGUUAUUUGUCUCCUCUAAAACAAGGUCUCUCACUGGUUUGGAAAUCACCAGUUAAGGUAGACUGACUGACUCUCCUAUGUCUUUCCAGAAAUUAUAAAUGUAUCACCACGCCCAACACUUUUUCUUUUCUUUUUUGGCAUUUUGAGACAGUGUCUCCUUACAUAGCUCUGUCUAUCUCCUGGAACUUACUAUGUAGAACAUGCUGGCCUCGAACACAAGAGAUCUGCUUGCCUCUGCCUCUCAAAUGCUGGAAUUGAAGUAUGUGCCACCAUGGCUCUUCAUGCCUGGCAUUUUUUAAUGUGGGUUCUGAGUAUAGAACUUGUCUCUUCACUUAAGGUGUGUGCUCCCUAAUGAAGUCACCACCCCCACCCCCACCCCAGCUUCUCAUCAUGUAACUCUUUUUUUUUUUAAUUUUUUUUAUUGUUUUGGUUUUUUAAAAUUUAUUUAUUAUUUAAUGUAUGUGAGUACACUGUAGCUGUCUUCAGACACACCAGAAGAGGGCAUCAGAUCCCAUUACAGAUGGUUGUGAGCCACCAUGUGGUUGCUGGGAUUUGAACUCAGGACCUCUGGAAGACCGGUCAGUGCUCUUAACCGCUGAGCCAUCUCUCCAGCCCAUGUAACUCUUUUUAAUGAGUGACUUUUUCCUGAGGCUACUUUAUUUUGUUUUUAAUAAAAAUAGAAUUGUA